GAUGAACGCUGGCGGCGUGCCUAAUACAUGCAAGUCGAGCGAACAGACGAGGAGCUUGCUCCUCUGACGUUAGCGGCGGACGGGUGAGUAACACGUGGAUAACCUACCUAUAAGACUGGGAUAACUUCGGGAAACCGGAGCUAAUACCGGAUAAUAUAUUGAACCGCAUGGUUCAAUAGUGAAAGACGGUUUUGCUGUCACUUAUAGAUGGAUCCGCGCCGCAUUAGCUAGUUGGUAAGGUAACGGCUUACCAAGGCAACGAUGCUUAGCCGACCUGAGAGGGUGAUCGGCCACACUGGAACUGAGACCCGGUCCCGACCCCUACGGGAGGCACCAGUAGGGAAUCUUCCGCAAUGGGCGAAAGCCUGACGGAGCAACGCCGCGUGAGUGAUGAAGGUCUUCGGAUCGUAAAACUCUGUUAUUAGGGAAGAACAAAUGUGUAAGUAACUAUGCACGUCUUGACGGUACCUAAUCAGAAAGCCACGGCUAACUACGUG
This 497-nucleotide ribosomal RNA is filed under the name uncultured bacterium. Its description in RNAcentral is "partial 16S ribosomal RNA". It matches the Rfam family "Bacterial small subunit ribosomal RNA", at positions 28 to 507 of the family's 1533-position model. The record is from RNAcentral.